RNAcentral lists this ribosomal RNA (253 nucleotides) under uncultured bacterium. RNAcentral's name for it is "partial 16S ribosomal RNA". It matches the Rfam family "Bacterial small subunit ribosomal RNA", at positions 524 to 776 of the family's 1533-position model. The record is from RNAcentral.
UACGUAGGGUGCAAGCGUUAAUCGGAAUUACUGGGCGUAAAGCGCACGUAGGCGGCUUGGUAUGUCGGGUGUGAAAUCCCCGGGCUCAACCUGGGAACUGCAUCCGAAACUGCCUUGCUAGAGUAUGGGAGAGGGAAGUGGAAUUUCCGGUGUAGCGGUGAAAUGCGUAGAUAUCGGAAGGAACAUCAGUGGCGAAGGCGACUUCCUGGACCAAUACUGACGCUCAGGUGCGAAAGCGUGGGGAGCAAACAGG